RNAcentral lists this ribosomal RNA (450 nucleotides) under uncultured bacterium. RNAcentral describes it as "bacterial SSU rRNA". It matches the Rfam family "Bacterial small subunit ribosomal RNA", at positions 328 to 792 of the family's 1533-position model. The record is from RNAcentral.
ACACCAGACUCCUACGGGAGGCAGCAGUGGGGAAUAUUGCACAAUGGGGGAAACCUUGAUGCAGCAACGCCGCGUGAAGGAAGAAGGCUUUCGGGUUGUAAACUUCUUUUGUCAGGGACGAAGCAAGUGACGGUACCUGACGAAUAAGCCACGGCUAACUACGUGCCAGCAGCCGCGGUAAUACGUAGGUGGCAAGCGUUAUCCGGAUUUACUGGGUGUAAAGGGCGUGUAGGCGGGACUGCAAGUCAGAUGUGAAACCCAUGGGCUCAACCCAUGGCCUGCAUUUGAAACUGUAGUUCUUGAGUGAUGGAGAGGCAGGCGGAAUUCCGUGUGUAGCGGUGAAAUGCGUAGAUAUACGGAGGAACACCAGUGGCGAAGGCGGCCUGCUGGACAUUAACUGACGCUGAGGCGCGAAAGCGUGGGGAGCAAACAGGAUUAGAUACCCCUGUA